Molecule: ribosomal RNA, 300 nt
Filed under: uncultured Prevotella sp.
Lineage: Bacteria; Pseudomonadati; Bacteroidota; Bacteroidia; Bacteroidales; Prevotellaceae
Description: bacterial SSU rRNA
Rfam family: Bacterial small subunit ribosomal RNA
Source: RNAcentral
AGCAAAACUGGUGGCACGAGCGGAGGGAAUACGAAGGGUGCAAACGUUGCUCGCAAUUAUGUGGCGUCAAGCGCACGUAGGCGGCGUAGCAAGGUCCAUGUGAAAGGCCACGGCUUAAGCGGGGAAGUGCAUGGGAAACUGCUUAGCUUGAGUACUUAAGAGGAGCGCGGAAUUCCCGGUGUAGAGGUGAAAUUCGGAGAUAUCGGGAGGAACACCAGUGGCGAAGGCGGCGAUCUGGGAAGAUACUGACGCUGAGGUGCGAAAGCGUGGGGAGCAAACAGGAUUAGAUACCUGGUAGUC